GAAGAGUCCAUAUGGAAGGAAGAGAAGAGGCCAAGCACGAUGGCUCAUGCCUGCAAUCCUAGUACUUUGGGAGGCCAAGGAUCUCCCAAAUUCUAUAAGCUUCAGGCCCCCGC
Molecule: non-coding RNA, 113 nt
Organism: Microcebus murinus (gray mouse lemur)
Lineage: Eukaryota; Metazoa; Chordata; Mammalia; Primates; Cheirogaleidae
Source: RefSeq, a predicted model, not a curated record